RNAcentral lists this ribosomal RNA (230 nucleotides) under uncultured bacterium. RNAcentral's name for it is "partial 16S ribosomal RNA". It matches the Rfam family "Bacterial small subunit ribosomal RNA", at positions 103 to 334 of the family's 1533-position model. The record is from RNAcentral.
CGGGUGAGUAACGCGUGGGUAACCUGCCUCAUACAGGGGAUAACAGUUAGAAAUGGCUGCUAAUACCGCAUAAGACCACAGCACUGCAUGGUACAGUGGUAAAAACUCCGGUGGUAUGAGAUGGACCCGCGUCUGAUUAGGUAGUUGGUGAGGUAACGGCCCACCAAGCCGACGAUCAGUAGCCGACCUGAGAGGGUGACCGGCCACAUUGGGACUGAGACACGGCCCAG